Molecule: ribosomal RNA, 95 nt
Filed under: Thesium impeditum
Lineage: Eukaryota; Viridiplantae; Streptophyta; Magnoliopsida; Santalales; Thesiaceae
Also listed under: 1 other name
Description: partial 26S ribosomal RNA
Source: RNAcentral
UCUCAUUGACCCAAUGACUUCUUUCGCCUUGCGUGGAAGGAGUUCACUAUGCGACCCCAGGUCAGGCGGGGCUACCCGCUGAGUUUAAGCAUAUC